AGCGAACGCUGGCGGCAGGCCUAACACAUGCAAGUCGAACGAACCUUUCGGGGUUAGUGGCGGACGGGUGAGUAACACGUGGGAACGUGCCUUUAGGUUCGGAAUAACUCAGGGAAACUUGUGCUAAUACCGAAUGUGCCCUUCGGGGGAAAGAUUUAUCGCCUUUAGAGCGGCCCGCGUCUGAUUAGCUAGUUGGUUGAGGUAAUGGCUCACCAAGGCGACGAUCAGUAGCUGGUCUGAGAGGAUGAUCAACCACAUUGGGACUGAGACACGGCCCAAACUCCUACGGGAGGCAGCAGUGGGGAAUCUUGCGCAAUGGGCGAAAGCCUGACGCAGCCAUGCCGCGUGAAUGAUGAAGGUCUUGGGAUUGUAAAAUUCUUUCACCGGGGACGAUAAUGACGGUACCCGGAGAAGAAGCCCCGGCUAACUUCGUG
Molecule: ribosomal RNA, 434 nt
Filed under: uncultured bacterium
Lineage: Bacteria
Description: partial 16S ribosomal RNA
Rfam family: Bacterial small subunit ribosomal RNA
Source: RNAcentral